This is a long non-coding RNA of Peromyscus eremicus (cactus mouse), 594 nucleotides long. RefSeq lists it as uncharacterized. The record is from RefSeq and is a predicted model, not a curated record. Lineage: Eukaryota; Metazoa; Chordata; Mammalia; Rodentia; Cricetidae. The transcript is spliced from 3 exons.
GAGAUGGAUGGCCCUGCCCCUCGCUGGAUACUGCUGCUGGAGGGCUGGCUCUGCCUCUCAGGGGAAAGCUGCCCCCUGCCCCUGCACUCCGGAAAGAUGGCCCCAUCCCUCAUCACAGGUGUGCAACUCACCAGGGCAGCAUAUUAGAGCUGACCCUGUGGUCAGGGACACAGGUGAGAUGUCCCUGAGGGAGUAAGAGCAACAGAGCUGACACUGUCCCUCCUCAUCUGCCAUGUGGUGGCAUGGGUGAGAGAAAGAUGCCCCUCCCCCCUUCACCCAUCGCCACCCACAGCAGGGUGGCCAGAGACCAACUUUCAGGAGCUGGUUUUCUUCCACUGCGUGGGAUCUGGGAGUUGAACUCAGGUUAUCAGGCUUGGUUGCAGGGAGUCUCGGUAUGAAAGCUUUUCAGAUCAAGGAUAAUUUCAGUGCAGAUUCCAAAGGCCUGAACAUGGGAGACCAACCACGCAAUGAGAAAGUUCUUAAAGAGAAAUGUGAGCUUUGGAACCUAUGAAGUUUUACAUGUACUUUACUUAAACAUGAAUUAUUGAAUGAUAUUUUCAUUUCAUAAAAAUAAAUAUUUCAUGUGGAAAAGUU